This 12893-nucleotide long non-coding RNA is filed under the name Lactuca sativa (garden lettuce). Its description in RNAcentral is "long non-coding RNA (LSAT_LNC000713)". Lineage: Eukaryota; Viridiplantae; Streptophyta; Magnoliopsida; Asterales; Asteraceae. The record is from RNAcentral.
UACUAACGCCAAUGCGUUAGUCUUCAGAAGUAGUUGCUACCUGGCUAGCGGUUUCCUGUGAAUACAAGUUAUUUCAAAGAAAAAGUGUCAACAUUUAAGUUGGUGAGUUCAUAAGUAGUGUUUUGAGAAGAUGUAUGCCAUUCGAAAGUGUUUGCAUGUUUUCCAGAAAAACCCUUAUUUUCUUAUAAAAGUAUGCAAUGCAUAUGAAUGUUCGUGAUGUAAAUUGCAACUAAUUGUACCGAGAAAAUCCCUUAUUUUCCUAUUAGUUGUUUGGUUUGUAUACAGGAAAAACCCUUAUUUCCCUGACAUAACUGGUAGUCUCUAAGACCGAAAAUCGCAAGCAAGCGACGUGCUUGUAAGUUGUGUCAUAGUUUUACAUAGUAAAGCUAUACGAAGAUCGCACUUUUUAGAUGAAGAAUAGUUUUAAUGACUACUCGUUCAUAAAAGCAUAAUACCAUAAUAAUUGUAUAUCCGAUGAGUUUUAUAACCAUACUAAACAUAAUAUGCCUGUAGCGACGUUCUUCAGGCGUCGUAGCGUUAUGACAACUGUCACCCCAUAAGACGGACUGUAGCUAACAGUCAGGGCGCGGGAUCAUGACUUCCCGUAUAGAUCUAUACACAUUUGACACGUUCUCCGAACGGGAGACUCUGGUUAUAGACAGGACUUGCAGCAUUAUUUUCUAAUAAAGAAAGUAACGUUUGAAGAUAUACACGACUCAUGGAUUCUCAACUAAGUCCGUAGUAAGGUAGUAGUUUGUAUGCAAAGUUUAACCUCUUUCACACUGUUUGACAAAGCAUAAUCAUAAAUUCUUUGAAUGCAAGAAAUGACUUAGUAAAGAAUGUUACCCUUGAUAUGAUGUGUUUGUAUGUAACCGUAUAAAUAAAACAUAUUUCUAUUUAUAAACAUAUUAUAUCCCAAAGAGGGUAAAGCUGUGUUGUGAGGGGUUUUGUAUCAUAAUAACUUCACAAGAUAGUUAAAACAACAGUAUGAAAAGUAUAUCAAAAGGUUAAUGUUUCACACGAAUUUAGUCAUGUGUUAACUUGUAUUCCUCCCCAAAAAGAGUAUAAAACAUUUAAAAUGUAUUUAAAGAGUGUUCAAAGGGGAUAUGAACUCACUUGAUAGUUUGAAGAUUGUGAGGUGGAAAACCGAGCAGAGUUUCGUCUCGGGAAACUGAUUUUUCUUGGGAUUCUCGGGAAUCUCGGGAGUAGAAUCGGCCUUCGGGACUUGAGCCAAAAAGACCAGAGCUUCGGGUUUGAACGGACACGGAAAACGAGGAAAUGCUGAGAGAGAGAGAAGAGAAAUGAACCCUUUCUUUGGAAACCCUCGCAUUCUAUUUAUAGGAAGGCAGGUCUGCCUCGGUACGCGGGGCGUACGCUCGUACGCGCUGCGUACGCGUACGUCAUGCAUGACCGAAGCCUCGACUGCCUCGGUUCGGAUGGGACGGGUUCUUGGGUUCUCGGGUCGGAUGGGACGGGUUGCUGGGGAGGUGGGUCGGAUGGGACGCCGGGUCGGAUGGGACGUCGGGUCGGACGGGUCGGACGGGUCGGCUUCCUCGGAUAUGGCGACGUGGACGAUCCGAGGCCAAUCCUCUCGGUUACGCGGGGCGUACAGGAGUACGCAGCGCGUACUUCGGAGAAGGACGCUGACUCCUCUUCGGAUAAUAUCCGAAUUUUGAAUUAAAUAAUUAAUUAAUUUAUUUAAUAAACUUCAAAAAUCCAUAUCUUCUUCAUACGAACUCCGUUUUCGAUGGUCUUUAUAUCCACGCGUAGGUGAGACUACGAUCUACAACUUUCGUUUAGACUCCGUUGGCAAAUUCCAAAAUUAUUUUUAUUAUUUAUUUUAUAACUAAUCGUUUUUAAGGAAUUUCUUUGCAAAAUCAUAACUUCCUCAUGCGAAGUCAGAUUUGGACGUUCUUUUUGUGUACGCUCACGGUUUAAUGUUAUCUAUGACUUUCAUUUAGAUACCUAAGGCUAAAUGUUAUCGUAUUGAAACUUUGCGUUUUUCGUUUGAUCGGUGUUGUCGGUUUUGACAGAAAUCUUAGAAUGGUCAUAGCUUCUUCGCCAUAACUCAGAUUUUAGUGUUCUUUAUUUAUUUGGAACCUUUAAGACGAUAUCUACUACAUAGCGUACUCCAAAUCAGAGCUUUUGAACAAUUCAUUUAUCGAUGAUAUUCCCAUUACAUUCAAAAAGGGUUACAAGACUCGGUUUAUAAUGCCCGGGAUAACGGGUUGUUACACGUAUGAGGAGCUAUACGAUCAUACCUUUGUCUUUCCUCGAUCCCCUAUGUACCUGAAACAAUAAACUGAAACUGUAAGCCCGAGGCUUGCUGAGUUCCCCAAAAAUACCGAUACACUACACAUAACACAUAUACAAAUAACAACAUGUAUUGGCUCCACAGCUUUUAUAGACUGGAUUACCCCUGGGCGCACGGUGUGAGUAUGGAUUGCCUUCCGGGCCCACAACUCACAUUUGGAUUACCAUCGAGCCUACAGUACGAGUCUCCCGCAUCUCGUAUUUGGAAUGCUCUCGAGCCCACAGUACGAGUCUGACAUGCCCCACCUGGCCAUCAACUCAUAUCUGGAAUGCUCUUGGGUUUGUUGGUUACCGCACGGAGCAGUAUCACCUCAGCCCAUCCUACAUAAUAUGUCGGCAUACAACACAACCAAUGUGCAUACAGAUAAUCACAUAAUACUACAGGUAGUCCUACAGAUCUACCUAACUGGAAGAGCAACUAGCAUGCAACGCUAAAUCAUACUCAACAUACUAGCAAUUGCUAGGAUAUCAUAUCCAAUGGGCUGGCCUUGGUGCCUUAGACCCCUUGGUAUAGUGAGGAUAACUCACCUCGCAAGUAGUGUCGAAGUACUGAAAACCUCUGAUCGUUGUCUCACCGGAAAUCCCGAACUAUCACAUAAUAAAUACCAAGUCAUUACACAACAUAACAAUCUUGACUAAGGGUCCACACAAUCCAUCACGUCCAUUCUCUUUAUUGGGCCAAGGCCUAGUGCCAAGUCCAUAACCUUGAAAGUCCUUAUGCAAAGCCCAUUAUUGGCCCGAUUUACCAAAUUGGGCCCAACUCCCUAAUAGGCCUAAUUCCAAGAUCCAUUAUCAAAACUUGGCCCAAAACAUUAUAUUCAUAAAGUCCAGCAAAGGCCCAAAUCCAUGUAGUCCAUAAACAACCCAAAACCCAAAGCUCAAUUGUCAAAGGCCCAUCAGAGGACGUACGUUGGGCGUACUCCUCCUGAUGUUGACCACCAUUGGGGUGGUUGACCCAAUACGAUGGGCGUACUGGAUUUACGCUAGGCAUACGUAGUGGUUUGCCAAAAUCUGAAUAAGUGCUUAAUGGCUUAAGCACUUAAGCCCAAACUUCAGAUCCAAUGACCAAAUGUGCCUAGGACCCAUAAAGUCACAAACUUUAUCACUUUGGACGUACAUAAAGCUCUUAAUACUUGUUCUAAAUCCAUUAAGACCUUCCCACUGCAUGCAUGGGAUAUCUUAAGCCAUUGGGACCUCAUUUUUAUCACUCAAAACCCCUUCAAGAGUCUAGAAGGAUAGUUCAUUUCGUCCAAAUCACAUCAUGCACAAUCUUGGGAGUUUUUGGGACAAGAAAUGGUUCUUUAAAAGAAAAAUGUGAAAAUCUAUACAUAUAUGCAUAAAGUUUGAAGCUUUUUACCUUUAGGAGCUUCUAGGGCACAAACCAACUUUAGAUCUACAAGCUUGAUCUUCUUCUCCAACUCCUUGAUGUAACACCUUCUUCUUAAAACACUCAAGAAACACUCAAUAAGCUCAAACACCUUCUUAUCCAACUCCUUGAUGUAACAUCUUCUUCUCCAAAACUCAAACCAAUUAUCCUGAAAAGAAAGUUUGAGAACGAAAAAGGGAUUACUUCAACUCAAGGACCUUCCGAAGGGCAGCAGGCUGGGGCAGUCAAUACCCCUAUCAGCCCUCCUGUUCCGACACCGACGACACCAUACUUAGGAAACCUCCCCCACUGCGGAAAGUGUAACUAACAUCAUUAUGGGAUCUGCCGAGAACUAUGUUGUGUCAAAUGCAGCAUGAAGGGGCAUACCGCUCGCAUCUGCAAGACUUCGGUCGAGUUUAUUACUUCAACCACCAAUGUUGGAGUCAAUCCAAUAUGCCAUCUCUGUGGUGAAAUAGGACAUUUCAAGAGAGACUGUCCAACAAAAAGAGGUGACGAGGUUACAGGAGGAGUUUAACCUUAAAACAUAAAGAAGCAUCAAGGAGCCCGAUAGGAUUUUGGUAUGCUUCUCAACCUUAGUAAUUAAUUAAAAACUUCAAUAACCAAUUAUAAUUAUAAUUACUCCCUCGUUAAAACAAGAGCGCGACACUGUUAUAUAACUCAAAACCCCAUCAGGUAAAUCUAUGAUGGCUUAGUAUAUACAUUAGGGCCAUUUAUAAUUAAGAUUUGUAGACCUCGAGUGAGUGAUGCGGCCUCAUUUCCAGUUCCAUGUUUGGUUGUGGAUUUAGGGCGGAGUCACUCAGUCAACAGUCUUUCCAAUCUUAAUUAUACAUGACUAGUAUACACUAGGCGGUUAUAGAAAUGCCUUGUGGAAAUCACUCCAUGAAAAGUACAUUAUUUCGAAUCGUUAGGACCCUCAAACUGUUUACACCCGUUGUUUCCGGUUCAAAAGUUCAUGGUAGUGAUACCAUGGGAGAAACCAGAAGCACUAAAACCAAGUGUGCUUGAUUUAGCACAUAGUCCUGAUAAUCAUUUCUUGCGUAUCGAUUCGAUAUCUAUUAGUCAAAAGAUUUUCGACAUCGUCGUCAGUCAUGGUCCGACUUGGUCCUUACCAUGCAAAAAUUUCCGGUGCUAUGUAAAAAGAACUUUCAUCCUAGUAAAUCGUCAAAUAAAUUCUUUCAAAUCUAAAUGGAAAACCUAAUGUGAACCAUCAUGUCGUCCCUCACAUCCGAAAUUCAGAAGUACCAGAAGGGAUACCACGCCUUGUUAUCCUAUCCAACAGUCAAUAGACUUGAAGUGGAAAACACUGAAGAUAUUCCAAAAGACAGUAAGUACCCGAGGCAUACCCGAUAGAUCCUCUAGAAAGACCCCGCGUAUAGCAUGGUCAAGUUUAGGAAAAGAGAAUAAGAACUCAUGGGAUAACUUAUUACUGCCAAGUGUAUAUGUAAGAGUGGUAUAUAAUUUAGAUCGAUAAGAUUUAAGAUGCAUGAUCCCGCCUUAUUUCCUGUUCCUUGUUUGGUUGUGGACUUGGGGCGGAGUCACCCAUUUGAACAUCUUGCCAAUCUCAAUUAUAUACAACUUGUAUACACGAAGUAGUGAUGAAUGAGCCCAAUAUGAGUUUUAUCAUGGACCAUAAAGCAAAAACCUUCGUUAUAUAUCUGUUAGGAAGAAGUUGGAACAUGAGAAAAUGAAUGUGAGUUGAACUACUAAACGACUACGACUUCGAAAUUCGUUAUUCUCCCGGUAGAGCCAGUGUAGUAGCCGACACCCUUAGUCGGAAAGAGUAACUCAGAUAGUAGAGUCAAAUCGUUGACUGUGACCCCCCAUUUACAUCAGUUCACAUGAAUUAAGGGCUCACCAGGGAGCCUAGGAACCUAGAAAUGUGUCAGGUGAAAUCCGGAGAGGGAUGGAUGAGUACUUAGAGGUCAGGGGUGACGGAUUCUUAUACCACAUAGAUUUGACCUAGACACCGAAGUUCAGUGAUGUCCGAGAAGUAGUCAUGGAUGAAUCUCACAAUACUCAAACUCUCCGUUCAUACAGAUCCAAAUGAGAGGCUUCUAGACCUCAAGAAGUUAGUUUAGUAGCUCGUCAUGCGAGGAAAGGUAUUGUUGCCAUGUAGACAAGUGUCUUGGGCACACCAAAGUUAAAGUUAAAAUACCGAAAGCCAUAGGAUUACCACCACAUUCGGAGGUACUUCAGUAGAAGAGGCAGCAUAUUGCAUUGGGCUUCAUAGUCAAGCUUCCCAAGGCAACAGGUGGACACGAUAUCAUUUUGAGUGACCGUUGACGGAUUAAAUCCGCACGGUCCCUACAAAUUGAAGAAAACGGACACAAUCGAGAAGCUAAUGGAACACGUGUCUAAGAGAUUAGUUAGACUGUGCGGUGUUCAAAUGUCUAUUAUCACUAUUCGAGAUAACAUAAUCACCUCCCGAAUUUGGCAGUCACUUCAGAAAAUCUCUGAAGGCUAGGCUAGUCAUGAGCAUAGCCUAUCACCCAUGAAACGACAGACAAAAUAAUAAGACGAUUCAACCAUUAGGAAUUGUGCGGAAAAUGCAUUUUAUUGACCUUGGUAAAGCUUGGGAUACCCGAUUGCCAACUAGUCAAGUCCUUUACCAUACCGACAUUUAGAGUUGCUUCGUUCGAAAGCCCUCAUUAGUUGAAAGUGCAGAUCCUCUCUGCACUGGACUAAGGUAGGUGCCAUGCAACUUGUUAGAUGCCAAAUGUCAGACAAUAUAUUCGAUGAUCCAGAAAACCCUUCGUGAAAACUACCAAGUAAUAGAGCAAAUCCGAAAAUCACCUAGAACUUAUAGAACCAACCAGGAAAGCUACGCCUUCCAUAAUAGAAAAACCUUUGGAACUCCAGGAUGAUGAUCACGUAAAAUGGAGAUCUCGCCCUGGAAGGGCAUCAUGUGUUUUAGAUACAUGGAAUACUAAAUCCAAGGUGCUUAGGGCCAUAUAAUAUUCUUGAUAGAAAUGGCCUGGUAGCUUACAAGUCCUGACUAUUUAGGGAAUUCAAUACAUUCCACCCUAUCCUUCCACGUCUAUAAAGAUUUGAAGAAGCGGUUGUCUGUCGAGACUCUUAUUAUUUCACUCGUUUAGAUUGAGGUAAGCAAAAGCCUCGUCUUGGUAAAGAAAUUUGUAGAAAUCCAGUUCAGUGAAGGAAACCCUAGUCAGUGGAGUCCAGGGAACGUAAACGAAACCGUACCUCGUGGCCAAAAUCUUUUAACGCAUAUAGGGAGGACUUGAUUUCCCUAGAGAUCGGGUGAAUCAAAUGAAUCAUGAGUAUCCGUACCUUCCACCUCAUCCAUGUACAUUGUUUAAAUUCUAAUUUCGGGAUGAAAUUCCCUUUAACCGGGGGGGGGGGGGGAUGAUGUGACAACCCGAAAUUUCUAUCUUGUGCAACAUUCAAUUCAAUAAAUGUCAGACUCAUUUAUGCUAUCUUUUAGCAUUUUUUAGAGUCUGUGUGAGUGUUAUAAGCUUAGUUGAAUCAAGAUUACAAGUCAUAGGGUUGCAUUAGGGUCAAUCCCUCCUUCAAGAGGACUGUACGGUCGUACACAUGGGUGUACGGACGUACACCUCCUCAUGGCCAUGAACACAUGCCCUUAAAUAAGCCUAACUUAUCCUUCCUUCAUUUUUCACACUUCCAAACCAAGAAAACCUGCUUUUUCUCUCAACUAUCAUCAAGUUCUUCACUUUGAUCUUCAAAGAAGUAAGUGUUUCCUACCUAGAUUUGUUGCUACAUUGCUUUAACUAGUGAUGAAUCCAUGUUGUCAUUCCAUAAAUUUCGUCUUUGGCUAGAUCUUCAUCUUUCACCAAGAACAUGAUGGGAUUUGAGCAAUACAUCAAUCCUAUGGUGUGCAUGCAAACCCUAAUAGAUUUUGGAUCUAGUUUGUCUAAUGAACAAGCAAUCGAAUAUCCAAAGCUAUAAACCCUAGAUCUAUCAUAGAAGAACUAAAAUAAGGGUUUAGUAAUUACCUUUGAUUGUUAUAUUGCAAUAACAAUCAAUUCCUUGCUUUGAUUUGCUUCAGAAAGCUUAGUGCCUCAAGUGCUGCACCUCUAAUGGAGUCACAAACACCACUAAGCAACUAGAUGAAGAAGGAGAAGAGAGGAGGCACCCAAAAACGUCUAGAAACCCUAAGGAUUCAGUUACACAUGUUUUUGGUGCAUAGAGGGCCUUUAUAUACAUGUAGUCUAUUAGGGUUUACAACUAGGAAACCCUAAUCUGGCUGCUUAAGCCCUAAGCAACCCAUGGACUCCUUUAACAUAUCCCUUAGACGAAUUCAUUUUGGGUUUCCCAUAGAAUUCGUCCAACCUAUAUUAUUUAGGUAAUCCAUAGCCUAAUUGCAAUUAUCUUAUAAUUACAAAUCCAGUCCCCUAAGUUUAAUUAAUCUCUUUUAGCCACAAAAUUAAUUCUUAAUUAAUUAGUGACUAAUAUUAAUCAAACACUAUGAUUUCUCCUUUAAUAUAUUAUUCUCAUAAUAUAUUAAUAAAUCAUAAUUAAACAUUUCUCUCCUUAAUUCAUCCUACAUAUUGCUAUGGUGAAGGCAACCCACAAGGACCAUGCUCAUAAUCGGGUCAAGUACAUACCAAAAUAGUUAUGGACUUAGACACUAAUCCAACAGUCUCCCACUUGGAUAAGUCUAAUAACUAUUUUCCGUAUGACUUCAGAACCUGAUCAGCAAUCGUAGCUUUCAAAAGCCGCUGUCAACUCUGAUCUUAUCAGAUAGCGUGUCCUCUAGAUAAGGGAUUAUAUAUUCCUCCAUUCUCAAGAUAUCGUAUAGACAAAAGACAUGAAUUUCAAUCAUUCUCUCUAUACUGUUUCCCGACUUCCGAUUUAUGACGACUGAUAACAGACUACAAUUGAACACAUCAACUUAGUCCCGGCUUGGCCAAGCGCUUAGGUGUCAUCACUAAAUCAUCGAGAGGCCCACAUAUAUCGCUUUUAUCCCACUUUGGGUAAAAGGAAUGGAUAAACUUUGACUCAUAUGCUUGCUUGCAUUCACUGAUCGAAUCACACACAACAAUAAGUUUUAUAACACCAAGUUACUCGUGCGUUUACUUAUUAUCAAUGCGCAACCGACCAAAAAAUAACAACACACACGUCUCGGUUUCAAGAAUAUACAAGAUUAUCGUCUCACUAAUCACUCGUGAUAAAUCCAUGAAGUGAUCCAAGUGAUCAUGGGCUUAAUCCAAUACUCUAAUCUUAUCAAAGCACUCAUGAACCCUGCAACAAACUUGUGCUAUGUCUAAACUCUUCAGACAAUCUACAGACUCUUCAUGACAGCCUUCCUUCAUACCUACUUCCAAGGUAUGACCAACUGUGGAGGUUCGAAUAACCCAAUUAUUCUGGAAGUCAAAACAUGCAAACUGAAACGCAACAAUAACACUUAAUCUUAUAUGGCCCCAAACUUGUGGGAGUAAAUAAAACACUUUUGUUUAAAUACCAUAUUGAUUACUCAUUAUUCACUAUUUACUGUUUCGGAAAAUCAACUUAUUACUUAAAUUACAACAAUAGCUGUCCCAUGCACAAAGCAUGCACACUAUGUUUCCUAUGGUCCUUACUUUGUGAAAUAGAUCAAUUGAAAGCUUUUCCAAUGGUGCUCAUUUCACAAUUCCCAAUCCUUGUCAUUAGUGUUAGAACACAAGGUUCUUGCCACUACUAGAAUAUGCUAGAUUCUAACAUUUUAUGCAACAAUUCUUUCGCAAAGUCAUAGCACAAAAGUUACCAAGACUUGGCCAAUGAAAUUACAAAGUACUCUAUCGGAAAUUGUUACAAGACAAUUUCAUAGAUGUGAAGUCUCACAUUCAAAGUGCAUUCCUUUGAACAUCCUUCUUGCAUAAAAUUUUCUAAUCUAGACAUAGACUAUCAAUAUCCAACUCCCAAUAUGGAAACAUUUCCAUAUUUUCCAUAUGACAACUCAUUCUUAAUAGAAUCUUAUCUAUUCAUAAUAAUGUCGAUAUGGUCCAUCCAAUACCAUACUUCCAACUACUCACAAGCGACCAAUCCUCAGCGAACUUUGGAUCGUCCUUUGAUAGUUGUUUAAUUAUUUUAGUCAAAACCGAUUCUAGUCCUUUUUCCCUCUUAAUGCGCUAGACAUUUGGAAAAUUUUAGAAUGGUCAAAUAUUAUAGCAUUUGCAAUCGAUCCUAUACCCGAAGCAUAUGGGACACGAUGCAUAAUGUCUUACAUAAAGAUAUGAUACUUUAUCAAUCUUCUGCCAUAAUAUUUUAUGUGUCACGUUCUCACAAUUCGAACUAUGAAGAGGGAUGUCGUAAUCAUAAUCGAAAUUUAAGAACACACUAUGUAUCCUUUGACUAAAUUUAUUAAAAUUUCUCAAUCUAAGCUUUAGAUUUUGAAACAAAAUAUAAUAUUCUAUCCCUUAAUUAUAGCAAAAUAACUUUUCAACCCAUGUAACUUUUCAAAUUGAAUCUUUGUUUUUCUAUAAUUAAUAUUGCUAACUUGCAAUAUUUGUCAUAAUAAUCAUACACGCAUAACACUUAUGCUCCCACUAUCAUGAUGAUUAUUAUCAUAUAAGCAUAACACUUAUGCUUCCACUAACUUUGACAUGUAUUCAGAAAACAAUUGAACUUCCAGAAAACAAUGCCUAUUGAAUUUAUGAAAUUCAUAUUUCUAAUACCAGAUGCUUCGAUAAGCCUUUGUCUAAGCUUCUUAAACUUAUACACCUUUGCCUUAGAUAACUCAUAUGUGUGUCUAAACAAUUCAGAACUUAUAUCAAUAAGUCCCAAAUGUUAGACUAAUUGUCAAAUCUCACAAUUCGAACUAUGGAAAGGGAUGCCGUAACCAUAAUCGAAUUUGAGAAUACAAUUUUCACAAUCGCUAUCUUCUUAAAAUCUCUCUUAGUGAAAUUAUUUCCUCACAGUCAUUUUCAUGAAGGAAGGAAUCUUAUGACACUUAGAUUUUUAUUUUAUUUUAUGGUGUAUGUGUUCCUAUCCAUGUGAAUUUUUCAAAACCAAGUUUGCAACAAAUCCAAACUCAUAUGGACUGAACUUUCUUAAUCUCGAUUUCUUGCCUUGUGGUGACACGAGUGCCCACCAUGUCUUCCAAGUGGUUUAGCAACUUAUCCUUACAUAUCAAUGUACUUUGCAUCGAUCAAGGUACUUUGUCUUUAUGCAUUGAAAUGAGAACUUAUAGAACUCACAUACAUAAUUAACUCAAUUGGAAUGGCACAGAAAAAAAAUAAUGUCAACAAGGUAGGUUGUAAACCUCAAGUCGUGUGCUUGUGAUGAUUGAUAAGGUUUAUUCUUGAUUUGUUCUUUAAAACUUUUUCAAGAUCAUUAAAACUCCCACUAACCUCUUGACAUAUAUGAUUCUCUUGUCAGGAAACUAUAACACCCAUAAUCAGAAAGACCAGGAAAGGAAAGGAAAACCCUAAGUUAAAGGGCCAACUCGUCGAGUCCAAGGAGGAACUCGGCGAUUCCGAGUGGGAUCUGGGUCGAGGAGUAAGUGACCGACUCGGCGAGUCGGAGUAUGGACUCGGCGAGUCCGGUCUGAAGAGGGAAUCCCUAAAUCCGGGACUUUGUGCACUAUUUAAGCACCUCAUUCUCUUCCUUAGGGUUCCUUUAAACCUCCUCUCAUCCAGAACAAUGAACCCUAGCCGCCAUACCUGUUUUUGAGUAAAGAUCUAGCCUUGGAGUUGUGAUCUGAAGCUUAGAAGAGAAGGAAGUUCAUAGUGGUGCAUGAGGAAGCCUUGGAUCCAGAGUUGGUGUGGCUUUUCAGAGCAUUUGAAGGUAAGAAGUCAUUACCUCCACUCCUUUGCUCAUAGUUUCCUUGUUGUCAUGAGAUUUGGGCUUUUAUGCCAUGUCCUAGACGCAAUUGGAGUUAGAAGUCCAAAUCUGAAGUUGCUACUUCAGAUCUAAGUGUCACACCCCCAAACCAGAACGGCGGAAUCGUUCGGGGGCGGAGGACGUCAUAUUCAGUAUCAUAACAGUUCAUAGAAAGGAAAGUACACACCACCAUAAUAUAAAUAUGUUUGAAAAAGUUUACAUGAUUGUAGGUGUUACAUGUUUGCAAAAGAAAUCAAAUAUAAAAUGGCGAUCCAAAAUAUGUUACUAACGCCAGUGCGUUAGUCUUCAGAAGUAGUUGCUACCUGGCUAGCGGUUUCCUGUGAAUACAAGUUAUUUCAAAGAAAAAGUGUCAACAUUUAAGUUGGUGAGUUCAUAAGUAGUGUUUUGAGAAGAUGUAUGCCAUUCGAAAGUGUUUGCAUGUUUUCCAGAAAAACCCUUAUUUUCUUAUAAAAGUAUGCAAUGCAUAUGAAUGUUCGUGAUGUAAAUUGCAACUAAUUGUACCGAGAAAAAUCCCUUGUUUUCCUAUUAGUUGUUUGGUUUGUAUACAGGAAAAACCCUUAUUUCCCUGACAUAACUGGCAGUCUCUAAGACCGAAAAUCGCAAGCAAGCGACGUGCUUGUAAGUUGUGUCAUAGUUUUACAUAGUAAAGCUAUACGAAGAUCGCACUUUUUAGAUGAAGAAUAGUUUUAAUGACUACUCGUUCAUAAAAGCAUAAUACCAUAAUAAUUGUAUAUCCGAUGAGUUUUAUAACCAUACUAAACAUAAUAUGCCUGUAGCGACGUUCUUCAGGCGUCGUAGCGUUAUGACAACUGUCACCCCAAAAGACGGACUGUAGCUAACAGUCAGGGCGCGGGAUCAUGACUUCCCGUAUAGAUCUAUACACAUUUGACACGUUCUCCGAACGGGAGACUCUGGUUAUAGACAGGACUUGUAGCAUUAUUUUCUAAUAAAGAAAGUAACGUUUGAAGAUAUACACGACUCAUGGAUUCUCAACUAAGUCCGUAAUAAGGUAGUAGUUUGUAUGCAAAGUUUAACCUCUUUCACAAUGUUUGACAAAGCAUAAUCAUAAGUUCUUUGAAUGCAUGAAAUGACUUAGUAAAGAAUGUUACCCUUGAUAUGAUGUGUUUGUAUGUAAACGUAUAAAUAAAACAUAUUUCUAUUUAUAAACAUAUUAUAUCCCAAAGAGGGUAAAGCUGUGUUGUGAGGGGUUUUGUAUCAUAAUAACUUCACAAGAUAGUUAAAACAACAGUAUGAAAAGUAUAUCAAAAGGUUAAUGUUUCACACGAAUUUAGUCAUGUGUUAACUUGUAUUCCUCCCCAAAAAGAGUAUAAAACAUUUAAAAUGUAUUUAAAGAGUGUUCAAAGGGGAUAUGAACUCACUUGAUAGUUUGAAG